CUCAGAUAUUCCAGUAAAAACUGUAGCAGUGCUGAUAUGUCAGUGGCAUUCUUUUGAGAUCUGGAGCAAAGGAACAAGUCCAGAUAAUCUCAGCUAGAAGUUAUGGUAGACAGCAGAAUUACAGUGACUCUGGAUUGAAUUGACAUUGCCAAGCACUACUACCUCAAGAUAACUAAGAAUUCAAAGAAAUAUAAGGAAGUAUCAAGUUACACCAUUGAAAAUCUAAUUGAUAUGACCAAUAACUUACACAGAAAGAGACAUAACAUGGCAGAGGAAGUAAAAGGGGAACUUAAUACUUGUCAAACAAGCCUAAUACUUGAAAGAAGAGUGGUGUUUCACUGAUGAAAUUUAAGUAACUGAUUGUAUUGAGACCGAAGAGUUGGUGAUAAGGAAUCCAUUUCCAUGAAUGAUUGGGGAAUUGCUGACUUGUACUACAAGAGAAAAUAUGAAGCUACUUUUCAAACUGCUUGUUAUUCAUCAAGUCCACAUACAAAGGGGCUCGUGAUGUGGCUGAGUUACCCAGGGUGAACCUGAACUCCCAGCCCUCCCACUUCAUCUUUCCAGAGUGCAGGUAUCGGAAGGACGAGCCCCUGCACCCAGCUUGGCAAGACUCAUGAGGUGCUAUCAUGAAAGUGUAAAUGUGAUGAACUAAUGGGCUUAUUACAACCAAGUUAAAAAUAAAUUUUUCCA
Molecule: long non-coding RNA, 690 nt
Organism: Fukomys damarensis (Damara mole-rat)
Lineage: Eukaryota; Metazoa; Chordata; Mammalia; Rodentia; Bathyergidae
Exons: 5
Source: RefSeq, a predicted model, not a curated record